RNAcentral lists this transfer RNA (84 nucleotides) under Nanobdellota archaeon. RNAcentral's name for it is "tRNA-Ser". It matches the Rfam family "tRNA". Rfam says of the family: Transfer RNA (tRNA) molecules are approximately 80 nucleotides in length. The record is from RNAcentral. Lineage: Archaea; Nanobdellati; Nanobdellota.
GCCACGAUCGCAUAAUCUGGUAGUGCACUGGCCUUGAGAGCCAGGCCUCCCUGAGGCUUCUCGGUUCAAAUCCGAGUCGUGGCG